AGGACGAACGCUGGCGGCGUGCUUAACACAUGCAAGUCGAGCGGAAAGGCCACUUCGGUGGUACUCGAGCGGCGAACGGGUGAGUAACACGUGAGUAAUCUGCCCUUGGCUUUGGGAUAGCCACCGGAAACGGUGAUUAAUACCGGAUACGACCACUUCUCGCAUGGGAUGGUGGUGGAAAGUUUUUUCGGCCAGGGAUGUGCUCGCGGCCUAUCAGCUUGAUGGUGAGGUAAUGGACUCACCAUGGCUUCGGACGGGUAGCCGGCCUGACGAGGGUGACCGGCCACACUGGGACUGAGACGACGGCCCAGACUCCGUACGGGAGGCAGCAGGUGGGAAUAGUGGACAAGUGGGCGUAAGCCUGAUCCAGCCAACGCCGCGUGAGGAUGGACGGUCCGUUCGGGUUACGUAACC
Molecule: ribosomal RNA, 414 nt
Filed under: uncultured soil bacterium
Lineage: Bacteria
Description: bacterial SSU rRNA
Rfam family: Bacterial small subunit ribosomal RNA
Source: RNAcentral